GAUGAACGCUGGCGGCGUGCCUAAUACAUGCAAGUCGAGCGAACAGACGAGGAGCUUGCUCCUCUGACGUUAGCGGCGGACGGGUGAGUAACACGUGGAUAACCUACCUAUAAGACUGGGAUAACUUCGGGAAACCGGAGCUAAUACCGGAUAAUAUAUUGAACCGCAUGGUUCAAUAGUGAAAGACGGUUUUGCUGUCACUUAUAGAUGGAUCCGCGCCGCAUUAGCUAGUUGGUAAGGUAACGGCUUACCAAGGCAACGAUGCGUAGCCGACCUGAGAGGGUGAUCGGCCACACUGGAACUGAGACACGGUCCAGACUCCUACGGGAGGCAGCAGUAGGGAAUCUUCCGCAAUGGGCGAAAGCCUGACGGAGCAACGCCGCGUGAGUGAUGAAGGUCUUCGGAUCGUAAAACUCUGUUAUUAGGGAAGAACAAAUGUGUAAGUAACUAUGCACGUCUUGACGGUACCUAAUCAGAAGGCCACGACUAACUACGUG
RNAcentral lists this ribosomal RNA (497 nucleotides) under uncultured bacterium. RNAcentral describes it as "partial 16S ribosomal RNA". It matches the Rfam family "Bacterial small subunit ribosomal RNA", at positions 28 to 507 of the family's 1533-position model. The record is from RNAcentral.